GACGAACGCUGGCGGCGUGCUUAACACAUGCAAGUCGAACGGUAAGGCGCCUUCGUUGUGGGGUGCUCGAGUGGCGAACGGGUGAGUAACACGAGAGUAACCUGCCCUGGACGCUGGGACAACUUAAGGAAACUGGGGCUAGUAUCGGAUAGGAGCUUCUGCUGCAUGGUCGGGGUUGGAAAGUUUCGGCUGUUGGGGUUGGACUGGCGGCUUAUGAGCUUGUUGGUGGGGUAGUGGCUUCCCAAGGCUUCGACGGGUAGGCGGCCUGUGGGGGUGGCCGGCCCCAAGAGGACUGCGAGAGGGCGCAGUCGGGAACGGGAGGCAACAGUGGGGAAUAUUAUACAGUAGGCGCGAGCCUGGUGCGACGGCGCCGGGUGCGGGAUGACGGCCUUCGGGUUGUGAACCGGUUUCGCCUGUGACGUAGCGUGGGUGACGGUAAUGGGUAAAGAAGCACCGGCUAACUACGUG
This 468-nucleotide ribosomal RNA is filed under the name uncultured bacterium. RNAcentral describes it as "partial 16S ribosomal RNA". It matches the Rfam family "Bacterial small subunit ribosomal RNA", at positions 28 to 507 of the family's 1533-position model. The record is from RNAcentral.